UGGCGAACGGGUGAGUAAUACAUCGGAACGUGCCCGAUCGUGGGGGAUAACGGAGCGAAACGUUUGCUAAUACCGCAUACGAUCUACGGAUGAAAGCAGGGGACCGCAAGGCCUUGCGCGGACGGAGCGGCCGAUGGCAGAUUAGGUAGUUGGUGGGAUAAAAGCUUACCAAGCCGACGAUCUGUAGCUGGUCUGAGAGGACGACCAGCCACACUGGGACUGAGACACGGCCCAGACUCCUACGGGAGGCAGCAGUGGGGAAUUUUGGACAAUGGGCGAAAGCUGAUCCAGCCAUGCCGCGUGCAGGAUGAAGGCCUUCGGGUUGUAAACUGCUUUUGUACGGAACGAAAAGACUCCUUCUAAUAAAGGGGGUCCAUGACGGUACCGUAAGAAUAAGCCCCGGCUAA
Molecule: ribosomal RNA, 407 nt
Filed under: Acidovorax facilis
Lineage: Bacteria; Pseudomonadati; Pseudomonadota; Betaproteobacteria; Burkholderiales; Comamonadaceae
Description: bacterial SSU rRNA
Rfam family: Bacterial small subunit ribosomal RNA
Source: RNAcentral